This 484-nucleotide ribosomal RNA is filed under the name uncultured bacterium. Its description in RNAcentral is "partial 16S ribosomal RNA". It matches the Rfam family "Bacterial small subunit ribosomal RNA", at positions 30 to 507 of the family's 1533-position model. The record is from RNAcentral.
AUUGAACGCUGGCGGCAGGCCUAACACAUGCAAGUCGAGCGGAUGAAGGGAGCUUGCUCCUGGAUUCAGCGGCGGACGGGUGAGUAAUGCCUAGGAAUCUGCCUGGUAGUGGGGGAUAACGUCCGGAAACGGGCGCUAAUACCGCAUACGUCCUGAGGGAGAAAGUGGGGGAUCUUCGGACCUCACGCUAUCAGAUGAGCCUAGGUCGGAUUAGCUAGUUGGUGGGGUAAAGGCCUACCAAGGCGACGAUCCGUAACUGGUCUGAGAGGAUGAUCAGUCACACUGGAACUGAGACACGGUCCAGACGCCUACGGGAGGCAGCAGUGGGGAAUAUUGGACAAUGGGCGAAAGCCUGAUCCAGCCAUGCCGCGUGUGUGAAGAAGGUCUUCGGAUUGUAAAGCACUUUAAGUUGGGAGGAAGGGCAGUAAGUUAAUACCUUGCUGUUUUGACGGUACCAACAGAAUAAGCACCGGCUAACUUCGUG